CCUACGGGCGGCAGCAGUGAGGAAUAUUGGUCAAUGGACGAGAGUCUGAACCAGCCAAGUAGCGUGAAGGAUGACUGCCCUAUGGGUUGUAAACUUCUUUUAUAUGGGAGUAAAAUGUUCCACGUGUGGGCUUUUGUAUGUCCCAUAUGAAUAAGGAUCGGCUAACUCCGUGCCAGCAGCCGCGGUAAUACGGAGGAUCCGAGCGUUAUCCGGAUUUAUUGGGUGUAAAGGGAGCGUAGGUGGAUUGUUAAGUCAGUUGUGAAAGUGUGCGGCUCAACCGUAAAAUUGCAGUUGAAACUGGCAGUCUUGAGUACAGUAGAGGUGGGCGGAAUUCGUGGUGUAGCGGUGAAAUGCUUAGAUAUCACGAAGAACUCCGAUUGCGAAGGCAGCUCACUGGACUGCAACUGACACUGAGGCUCGAAAGUGUGGGUAUCAAACAGGAUUAGAUACCCGUGUAGUC
This 460-nucleotide ribosomal RNA is filed under the name uncultured bacterium. Its description in RNAcentral is "partial 16S ribosomal RNA". It matches the Rfam family "Bacterial small subunit ribosomal RNA", at positions 338 to 795 of the family's 1533-position model. The record is from RNAcentral.